RNAcentral lists this ribosomal RNA (254 nucleotides) under uncultured bacterium. RNAcentral describes it as "partial 16S ribosomal RNA". It matches the Rfam family "Bacterial small subunit ribosomal RNA", at positions 524 to 776 of the family's 1533-position model. The record is from RNAcentral.
UACAGAGGGUGCAAACGUUGUUCGGAUUUACUGGGCGUAAAGCGCGUGUAGGCUGCUUCGCAAGUCGGAUGUGAAAGCCCUGGGCUCAACCAUGACGGUAGCAUUCGAAACUGCAGAGCUGGAGUCCUGGAGAGGAAGGCGGAAUUCUCGGUGUAGAGGUGAAAUUCGUAGAUAUCGAGAGGAACACCGGUGGCGAAGGCGGCCUUCUGGACAGUGACUGACGCUGAGACGCGAAAGCGUGGGGAGCAAACAGG